GGGGGACUAAGUAUUAAUAUAUAAUCGACCGUUGGUGUUUCAUCGACGUUAUCCUCGCUA
This 60-nucleotide unclassified non-coding RNA is filed under the name synthetic construct. The record is from RNAcentral.